CAGCUGGACCGGACGGUCGCUGCCGCCCGUCGAGGGCGGUAGAGGAAAGUCCGAACUCCACAGAGCAGUGUGCCGGAUAACGUCCGGGAGGAUGAUCUAAGCUUGCAGGUCUUCUGCAAGCUUGAUUGGUCCGACGGAAAGUGCCACAGAAAAUAUACCGCCGCGCCGUCGUUGUCAGUUCUUUGCUGGCUUGAGUUGGAUUUGUCAGUUGUUCAAUUCCAGCUGUUAGCAAGGAUUGACGACGGCGGCGAGGUAAGGGUGAAAAGGUGCGGUAAGAGCGCACCGCCGCCGCAGCAAUGCGGCGGGCAGGGUAAACCCCACACGGAGCAAGACCAAAUAGGGAGGGACUAUCCUGGCCGAACCAGGGUGCGUGCCGGCUCGGCGCGCCAGACCUCCGGGUAGGUCGCUUGAGCCCGGCAGCAAUGUCGGGCCCAGAGGAAUGACCGUCCUGCUGGUAUUCCAGCAGACAGAAUUCGGCUUAUACGGUCCGACUGCCAC
RNAcentral lists this RNase P RNA (498 nucleotides) under Acidobacteriota bacterium. Its description in RNAcentral is "Acidobacteria bacterium (rhizosphere metagenome) RNase P RNA component class A". It matches the Rfam family "Bacterial RNase P class A". Rfam says of the family: Ribonuclease P (RNase P) is a ubiquitous endoribonuclease, found in archaea, bacteria and eukarya as well as chloroplasts and mitochondria. Its best characterised activity is the generation of mature 5'-ends of tRNAs by cleaving the 5'-leader elements of precursor-tRNAs. The record is from RNAcentral. Lineage: Bacteria; Pseudomonadati; Acidobacteriota.